GAUGAACGCUGGCGGCGUGCCUAAUACAUGCCAGUCGAGCGAACAGACGAGGAGCUUGCUCCUUCGACGUUAGCGGCGGACGGGUGAGUAACACGUAGGUAACCUACCUAUAAGACUGGGAUAACUUCGGGAAACCGGAGCUAAUACCGGAUAAUAUUUCGAACCGCAUGGUUCGAUAGUGAAAGAUGGCUUUGCUAUCACUUAUAGAUGGACCUGCGCCGUAUUAGCUAGUUGGUAAGGUAACGGCUUACCAAGGCAACGAUACGUAGCCGACCUGAGAGGGUGAUCGGCCACACUGGAACUGAGACGCGGUCCAGACUCCUACGGGAGGCAGCAGUAGGGAAUCUUCCGCAAUGGGCGAAAGCCUGACGGAGCAACGCCGCGUGAGUGAUGAAGGUCUUCGGAUCGUAAAACUCUGUUAUUAGGGAAGAACAAACGUGUAAGUAACUGUGCACGUCUUGACGGUACCUAAUCAGAAAGCCACGGCUAACUACGUG
RNAcentral lists this ribosomal RNA (497 nucleotides) under uncultured bacterium. RNAcentral's name for it is "partial 16S ribosomal RNA". It matches the Rfam family "Bacterial small subunit ribosomal RNA", at positions 28 to 507 of the family's 1533-position model. The record is from RNAcentral.